Molecule: long non-coding RNA, 889 nt
Organism: Dalotia coriaria
Lineage: Eukaryota; Metazoa; Arthropoda; Insecta; Coleoptera; Staphylinidae
Exons: 5
Source: RefSeq, a predicted model, not a curated record
GCAGAGUAUUAUUGUGAAAUAUCGCAUCCUUGCGUGCGCAGUUUCGGCAUGCUCUAUUGAUGGAUUGCAGCCAGUUUCGUGCCGGUCUCUGACGCAUCCAGAUGUAUUUCGCGCAACGCGUUUCGUUUUAUUCGGUCAUUACCCGACUAAGUCGUAAUAUGCAUAUGCAGUGUUACCUUAAUAAUUAAUUGUGCGUUAAAUGUCCCUAAAUGUUUUUUUUGCUUGCUUGUGAUGUUUAUAUUUCAAAUUACAAUGCUGCGGGUUUAUUGUCGAUUAUUGUGUGACGUGGUCGGUCGCUAAAUUAACUGGAAACAUAUUCGUGCUUGAGUGAGUUACUUUUACCUGACCAUUGCGAUUCUCAGCACAGGAAUACUUGUCGUGCCCUUGCAAUCCGAUGAGCGCUGCAUUGUAUAUGCCGUACCUUCUACCGCUACCUUCGUACGGUGCCUUGAAUGGGAGUCACUUCUAUUUUCUUUAUGGAUCCUUUGUUGGAUGAAGCAUUGGCUAAUCCUGAGAUGAUCAAGUUUAUCAAUAAGUACCAACUGGAGAGGUUCCGUGGUACUGGUGGAGUGCGUAUUGAGGAUGAUGUUUUGAUUACUGAAGAUGGAUCUGUCAACUGGACUUGAGUUCCAAGAACUGUCCCAGAAAUUGAAGAUUGGAUUGCCGGUGUUGAUAAUGAUCCCAAAUACGAUUGAAUGAAUUUACAACAUUUUGAAGCUGAUACUGAUAUCAUUUUUGUUUAUUUUGUUAAAAGGUAUAAAAAGAGCAUUAAAUAAUUGCAUAUUAUUAUCCUGUUUUCAUGCAUGUAUUGUUAAAAAUGCUGUAUAUAUUGAGAAAUUGAGUUUGUGAUUCUACAUGUAUGAAUAAAAUUGUAGUUUAAUAUUUUUAA